GCGUGAGAGCGCGGACCCCCACACUGGCACUGAGAUACGGGCCAGACUCCUACGGGAGGCAGCAGUAAGGGAUAUUGCGCAAUGGACGANAGUCAGACGCAGCGACGCCGCGUGGGCGAUGAAGGCCUUCGGGUUGUAAAGCCCUUUUAUGGGGGAAGAGAAAAAGGACGGUACCCCAGGAAUAAGUCCCGGCUAACUACGUGCCAGCAGCCGCGGUAAAACGUAGGGGACAAGCGUUAUCCGGAUUCACUGGGCGUAAAGAGCGUUGAGGCGGUUCCGUAAGUUGGGCGUGAAAGCUCCGGGCUUAACUCGGAGAUGUCGUUCAAUACUGCGGGGCUUGAGGACAGCAGAGGAAGGUGGAAUUCCCGGUGUAGUGGUGAAAUGCGUAGAUAUCGGGAGGAACACCCGUGGCGAAGGCGGCCUUCUGGGCUGUUCCUGACGCUGAAGGCGAAAGCUAGGGGAGCGAACGGGAUUAGAUACCCCGGUAGUCCUAGCUGUAAACGAUGGAUGCUGGGUGUGGGGGGUGUAAAUUCCCUCUGUGCCGAAGCAAACGCGUUAAGCAUCCCGCCUGGGGACUACGGCCGCAAGGCUAAAACUCAAACGAAUUGACGGGGGCCCGCACAAGCAGCGGAGCGUGUGGUUUAAUUCGAUGCUACACGAAGAACCUUACCUGGGUUUGACAUGCACGUGGUAGGGAACCGAAAGGGGACCGACCUUCGGGAGCGUGCACAGGUGCUGCAUGGCUGUCGUCAGCUCGUGCCGUGAGGUGUCGGGUUAAGUCCCGUAACGAGCGCAACCCGUGCCCUUAGUUACAAGUGUCUAAGGGGACUGCCCGGGACAACUGGGAGGAAGGUGGGGAUGACGUCAAGUCAGCAUGGCCUUUAUAUCCAGGGCUACACACACGCUACAAUGGCCGGUACAAUAGGUUGCGAAGUCGUGAGGCGGAGCCAAUCCUCAAAGCCGGUCUCAGUUCGAAUUGCAGUCUGCAACUCGACUGCAUGAAGCUGGAGUUGCUAGUAAUCGCAGGUCAGCUAUACUGCGGUGAAUACGUUCCCGGGCCUUGUACACACCGCCCGUCACGUCAUGGAAGCUGGCAACGCCUGAAGCCGGUGAGCUAACCCGAAAGGGAGCAGCCGUCGAGGGUGGGGCUG
This 1151-nucleotide ribosomal RNA is filed under the name uncultured organism. Its description in RNAcentral is "bacterial SSU rRNA". It matches the Rfam family "Bacterial small subunit ribosomal RNA", at positions 290 to 1470 of the family's 1533-position model. The record is from RNAcentral.